GGAGAGAUGGCUGAGCUGGUCUAAGGCGCACGCCUGGAAAGUGUGUGUUGGUUAACCCCAACCGAGGGUUCGAAUCCCUCUCUCUCCGCCA
This 91-nucleotide transfer RNA is filed under the name Clostridia bacterium. RNAcentral's name for it is "tRNA-Ser". It matches the Rfam family "tRNA". Rfam says of the family: Transfer RNA (tRNA) molecules are approximately 80 nucleotides in length. Their secondary structure includes four short double-helical elements and three loops (D, anti-codon, and T loops). Further hydrogen bonds mediate the characteristic L-shaped molecular structure. tRNAs have two regions of fundamental functional importance: the anti-codon, which is responsible for specific mRNA codon recognition, and the 3' end, to which the tRNAs corresponding amino acid is attached (by aminoacyl-tRNA synthetases). tRNAs cope with the degeneracy of the genetic code in two manners: having more than one tRNA (with a specific anti-codon) for a particular amino acid; and 'wobble' base-pairing, i.e. permitting non-standard base-pairing at the 3rd anti-codon position. Lineage: Bacteria; Bacillati; Bacillota; Clostridia. The record is from RNAcentral. RNAcentral also lists the same sequence under 1 other name.